AGCGAACGCUGGCGGCAGGCCUAACACAUGCAAGUCGAACGAACCUUUCGGGGUUAGUGGCGGACGGGUGAGUAACACGUGGGAACGUGCCUUUAGGUUCGGAAUAACUCAGGGAAACUUGUGCUAAUACCGAAUGUGCCCUUCGGGGGAAAGAUUUAUCGCCUUUAGAGCGGCCCGCGUCUGAUUAGCUAGUUGGUUGAGGUAAUGGCUCACCAAGGCGACGAUCAGUAGCUGGUCUGAGAGGAUGAUCAGCCAUAUUGGGACUGAGACACGGCCCAAACUCCUACGGGAGGCAGCAGUGGGGAAUCUUGCGCAAGGGGCGAAAGCCUAACGCAGCCAUGCCGGGUGAAUGAUGAAGGUCUUAGGAUUGUAAAAUUCUUUCACCGGGGACGAUAAUGACGGUACCCGGAGAAGAAGCCCCGGCUAACUUCGUG
RNAcentral lists this ribosomal RNA (434 nucleotides) under uncultured bacterium. Its description in RNAcentral is "partial 16S ribosomal RNA". It matches the Rfam family "Bacterial small subunit ribosomal RNA", at positions 29 to 507 of the family's 1533-position model. The record is from RNAcentral.